RNAcentral lists this ribosomal RNA (253 nucleotides) under uncultured bacterium. Its description in RNAcentral is "partial 16S ribosomal RNA". It matches the Rfam family "Bacterial small subunit ribosomal RNA", at positions 524 to 776 of the family's 1533-position model. The record is from RNAcentral.
UACGGAAGGUGCAAGCGUUGUUCGGAAUGACUGGGCGUAAAGCGCACGUAGGCGGUCUCGCAAGUCGGAUGUGAAAUCCCCAGGCUCAACCUGGGAAUUGCAUCCGAAACUGCGAAACUUGAAUGCUUGAGAGGUUGGUGGAAUUCCAGGUGUAGGAGUGAAAUCCGUAGAUAUCUGGAGGAACAUCGGUGGCGAAGGCGACCAACUGGCAAUGCAUUGACGCUCAGGUGCGAAAGCGCGGGGAGCAAACAGG